Molecule: ribosomal RNA, 406 nt
Filed under: uncultured bacterium
Lineage: Bacteria
Description: bacterial SSU rRNA
Rfam family: Bacterial small subunit ribosomal RNA
Source: RNAcentral
UGGGGAAUAUUGGGCAAUGGGCGCAAGCCUGACCCAGCAACGCCGCGUGAGGGAAGAAGGUUUUCGGAUUGUAAACCUCUGUCCUUGAUGAAAAGAAGAAGAUGGUAAUCGAGGAGGAAGCCCCGGCUAACUACGUGCCAGCAGCCGCGGUAAUACGUAGGGGGCGAGCGUUGUCCGGAAUGAUUGGGCGUAAAGGGCGUGUAGGCGGCUUGGUAAGUCUGGAGUGAAAGUCCUGCUUUCAAGGUGGGAAUUGCUUUGGAUACUGUCGAGCUUGAGUGCAGGAGAGGUUAUCGGAAUUCCCGGUGUAGCGGUGAAAUGCGUAGAGAUCGGGAGGAACACCAGUGGCGAAGGCGGGUAACUGGACUGCAACUGACGCUGAGGCGCGAAAGUGUGGGGAGCAAACAGG